This 300-nucleotide long non-coding RNA is filed under the name dengue virus type 2. Its description in RNAcentral is "Dengue virus type 2 partial sfRNA1". The stretch from base 158 to 229 matches the Rfam family "Flavivirus DB element". Lineage: Riboviria; Orthornavirae; Kitrinoviricota; Flasuviricetes; Amarillovirales; Flaviviridae. The record is from RNAcentral.
UAAAAGUCAGGUCGGAUUAAGCCAUAGUACGGAAAAAACUAUGCUACCUGUGAGCCCCGUCCAAGGACGUUAAAAGAAGUCAGGCCAUCACAAAAAUGCCACAGCUUGAGUAAACUGUGCAGCCUGUAGCUCCACCUGAGGAGGUGUAAAAAACCCGGGAGGCCACAAACCAUGGAAGCUGUACGCAUGGUGUAGUGGACUAGCGGUUAGAGGAGACCCCUCCCUUACAAAUCGCAGCAACAACGGGGGCCCAAGGUGAGAUGAAGCUGUAGUCUCACUGGAAGGACUAGAGGUUAGAGG